Molecule: ribosomal RNA, 1259 nt
Filed under: uncultured bacterium
Lineage: Bacteria
Description: bacterial SSU rRNA
Rfam family: Bacterial small subunit ribosomal RNA
Source: RNAcentral
GUAACCUGCCCUGGAAGUGGGGGGGACAACAGUUGGAAACGACUGCUAAUACCGCAUAAGCCCACGGCCCGGCAUCGGGUUGAGGGGAAAAGGAUUUAUUCGCUUCAGGAUGGACUCGCGUCCAAUUAGCUAGUUGGUGAGGUAACGGCCCACCAAGGCGACGAUUGGUAGCCGGACUGAGAGGUUGAACGGCCACAUUGGGACUGAGACACGGCCCAGACUCCUACGGGAGGCAGCAGUGGGGGAUAUUGCACAAUGGGGGAAACCCUGAUGCAGCGACGCCGCGUGGAGGAAGAAGGUUUUCGGAUUGUAAACUCCUGUCGUUAGGGACGAUAAUGACGGUACCUAACAAGAAAGCACCGGCUAACUACGUGCCAGCAGCCGCGGUAAAACGUAGGGUGCAAGCGUUGUCCGGAAUUACUGGGUGUAAAGGGAGCGCAGGCGGACCGGCAAGUUGGAAGUGAAAUCCAUGGGCUCAACCCGUGGAUUGCUUUCAAAACUGCUGGCCUUGAGUAGUGCAGAGGUAGGUGGAAUUCCCGGUGUAGCGGUGGAAUGCGUAGAUAUCGGGAGGAACACCAGUGGCGAAGGCGACCUACUGGGCACCAACUGACGCUGAGGCUCGAAAGCAUGGGUAGCAAACAGGAUUAGAUACCCUGGUAGUCCAUGCCGUAAACGAUGAUUACUAGGUGUUGGAGGAUUGACCCCUUCAGUGCCGCAGUUAACACAAUAAGUAAUCCACCUGGGGAGUACGACCGCAAGGUUGAAACUCAAAGGAAUUGACGGGGGCCCGCACAAGCAGUGGAGUAUGUGGUUUAAUUCGAAGCAACGCGAAGAACCUUACCAGGUCUUGACAUCCGAUGCAUAGUGCAGAGAUGCAUGAAGUCCUUCGGGACAUCGAGACAGGUGGUGCAUGGUUGUCGUCAGCUCGUGUCGUGAGAUGUUGGGUUAAGUCCCGCAACGAGCGCAACCCUUAUUGCCAGUUACUACGCAAGAGGACUCUGGCGAGACUGCCGUUGACAAAACGGAGGAAGGUGGGGAUGACGUCAAAUCAUCAUGCCCUUUAUGACCUGGGCUACACACGUACUACAAUGGCGUUUAACAAAGAGAAGCAAGACCGCGAGGUGGAGCAAAACUCAAAAACAACGUCUCAGUUCAGAUUGCAGGCUGCAACUCGCCUGCAUGAAGUCGGAAUUGCUAGUAAUCGCGGAUCAGCAUGCCGCGGUGAAUACGUUCCCGGGCCUUGCACACACCGCCCGUCA